This 434-nucleotide ribosomal RNA is filed under the name Magallana hongkongensis (Hong Kong oyster). RNAcentral describes it as "partial 16S ribosomal RNA". It matches the Rfam family "Bacterial large subunit ribosomal RNA", at positions 1852 to 2564 of the family's 2925-position model. Lineage: Eukaryota; Metazoa; Mollusca; Bivalvia; Ostreida; Ostreidae. The record is from RNAcentral.
GCAAUACCUGCCCAGUGCGAAAUAUUACUGUAAACGGCCGCCCUAGCGUGAGGGUGCUAAGGUAGCGAAAUUCCUUGCCUUUUGAUUGUAGGCCUGCAUGAAUGGUUUAACGAGGGUUUAACUGUCUCUAAAUUUUUUAUUGAAAUUGUACUGAAGGUGAAGAUACCUUCAUUUAAAAGUUAGACAAAAAGACCCCGUGCAACUUUGAAAAUUAACUUUAUUCAGAAGUAAAAGAUUUUUAGGUGGGGCGCCUAGAAAGUAAGCCUAACCUUUCUGAAUAAUUAGUUCUUUCCGGAUUCGACCCGAUUAUAUUCGAUCAUAGGAGAAGUUACGCCGGGGAUAACAGGCUAAUCCUUUAGUAGAGCUCGUAUUGGCUAAAGGGAUUGGCACCUCGAUGUUGAAUCAGGGAUGAUAGCUUCAAGGCGUAGAGGCUU